AGGUAUGUGGUUCAGUGGUAGAACACCUGUGUAGCACGUGCAAGACCCUGGGUUCCAUUCCCAGCAAAGCCA
RNAcentral lists this transfer RNA (72 nucleotides) under Urocitellus parryii (Arctic ground squirrel). Its description in RNAcentral is "Spermophilus parryii (Arctic ground squirrel) tRNA". It matches the Rfam family "tRNA". Rfam says of the family: Transfer RNA (tRNA) molecules are approximately 80 nucleotides in length. RNAcentral also lists the same sequence under 1 other name. The record is from Rfam by way of RNAcentral. Lineage: Eukaryota; Metazoa; Chordata; Mammalia; Rodentia; Sciuridae.